This is a long non-coding RNA of Pan troglodytes (chimpanzee), 1226 nucleotides long. RefSeq lists it as uncharacterized. The record is from RefSeq and is a predicted model, not a curated record. The transcript has 2 exons. Lineage: Eukaryota; Metazoa; Chordata; Mammalia; Primates; Hominidae.
AACCUCAAAACCUAUCUUCUUCUGAGGUCAAGCCAUCCACUCACAGGACUUCUUCUCAAGCUGGAGCCCUUAGUUGAGCUGAUUUUACACAAUCGAGUAGAGAAAGAAAAUGGCUUUUUGUGGAAGACCAGUGUCAAAAUAUUGAGCAACUCUCCUAAGAACAAGGCAUGCAAUCUCAAAUUCCUGGUUUUCAGAACAGGUUAACUGGACAAGCAAAAACAAGGAGCCAACUUAUUGGGGAGAACUAGAGGCCUAGGGAAAAGAAAAGGCCCAACUUUCUAUCCCCAACAGACCCUUUGGGAACUGAUAAAAUUAAACAUUUUUCAAAGACCCUCCAUUUCCUAUUACCACAAGAAAGUCAAAAUAUUUCUAUCUUUUAAUUUAACUUUAUCUUGCUUUUCUUUUUGAAAUUUCAAUUUAGGGCAAUAUUUCUGAGGGAUGCCAUUUUUUUUAAAUACCUACUUUCCUUCAGCUAAUGUAAAACAAAUAGUUACUCCUGGAAAUUACUUUUUACUAUUGGUUCCAAAGCUACAAUUUGCAGCAAAUAAAAGGACUCUUCCCUUCUACAGAAACAUUCAGACAACUACAUAUUGAGAGGAAGGUUUAUGUGUACUUGGAGCCUUUGGGUGAUGUUCUCUUUGGCCAUAUGAUGUGGUACUCCCACCAGCCUGCCAUUUAGUGACUCCUAUCAAAGCAAACCUCUCCAAAAACAGACACUUCAAAGAAGAUGACUAAUUGUGGGUGCCAACUGGAUGCUGAAUUGCUGAAUGGUUUCCAUCUCAUUUUCCAAAGAAAAUGUAAAAUUUCAGAGUAAAAUUGCCACUUUUCUUUUUUCACGAUGUAGUAUUUGGUGGCUUUUAAAUUCACAGCCUUCUAUUCUUGGAAGUUUUUAAAUUUUAAAUUAACUUUCCUUCCUUCAUUCCACAUUCAUCCAUUCAUUUAGUCAUUCAUUCAUUCGUUUUUUUUGGAGACAGGAUCCUGUCCUGAAUACAGCCCAGGCUGGAAUGCAGACGCAUCAUUACAGUUCACUGUAGCCUCGAACUCCUGGGCUCAAGCAAUCCUCUUGCCUCAGCCUCCCAAAUAGUUAGGACUAUAACCAUGUGCCACCCUGCCCAGCUAUUUUUUUUUAUAAAUGGGAUCUCACUAUGUUGCCCAGAUUUGUAUCGUACUACUGGCCUCAGUGAUCCCUCUUGACCCCUCAGAUCAUUAAACAUUUAUUAAAUGCC